Molecule: ribosomal RNA, 494 nt
Filed under: uncultured bacterium
Lineage: Bacteria
Description: partial 16S ribosomal RNA
Rfam family: Bacterial small subunit ribosomal RNA
Source: RNAcentral
GACGGACGCUGGCGGCGUGCUUAACACAUGCAAGUCGAACGGAAAGGCCUGCUUUCCCUUGUGGAUUGCGGGUACUCGAGUGGCGAACGGGUGAGUAACACGUGAGUGAUCUGCCCCCAACUUGGGUAUAAGCCUGGGAAACUGGGUCUAAUUCCCGAUAGGACUGCAGGGUGGUGCCUGUGGUGGAAAACGAUUUUCUAGUGGUUGGGGAUGAGCUCGCGGCCUAUCAGCUUGUUGGUGGGGUAAUGGCCUACCAAGGCGGCGACGGGUAGCCGGCCUGAGAGGGUGGACGGCCACAUUGGGACUGAGAUACGGCCCAGACUCCUACGGGAGGCAGCAGUGGGGAAUAGUGCACAAUGGGCGGAAGCCUGAUGCAGCGACGCCGCGUGGGGGAUGACGGCCUUCGGGUUGUAAACUCCUUUCGACCGCGAGGAAGCCACCUGGUUGGAAGGGUGGUGACGGUAGUGGUAGAAGAAGCACCGGCUAACUACGUG